Molecule: long non-coding RNA, 1151 nt
Organism: Xenia sp. Carnegie-2017
Lineage: Eukaryota; Metazoa; Cnidaria; Anthozoa; Malacalcyonacea; Xeniidae
Exons: 2
Source: RefSeq, a predicted model, not a curated record
CUUCAUACGUAGCCCUCCUUAUCGAUCAUGUCGAAGACAAGAUAGAAAUUCCGGCUGGUGGAAGAAAGUUUGGAGUAUUUAUUCUGAUCUUGGAUUCAAAAAAACAUUUCGUGUAUCUCGAGGAAACUUUCCUUGUACAUAUAAAUUUUUUGCACUUUAAACAAGUGUAUUUUGUUAAACUUGUGCACGAAAUACAAGGGCCAUUACCAACACUCGCCGCCGCCAUGUUUUUACAACUUUGCGCAUGGCAUUUAGCAUGGAAAUAAUUGAUUUUUGCUUAGAAAUAUCUUAAAAUAAAUUAUGCAUUAAAUUCGGCUCAUGUAAAAUGCGACGUUUGAAUCAACAUCGAAUUUCCGUCGAAUAUUCGACUAACUCAGUCGAAUAUGCGACUAAAGUCGCAUUAAAUUAAAAUCCGUCGAAUUUAAUUGAUUCAAACGUCGCAUUUUACAUGCACAUAAUUCUCGCAUUUGAUUCGGCGCAUGUAAAAUGCGACGUUUGAACUGGGCCUUAUGUUGUCCCUAAUUAGCCCUUGCUAUCUUUCUUCACGUGCUUGUCGUGAACCAAUGAAAAACAAGCACAACGAUCACAUUGCCAAGCUCGAGCCAGUGUUGUACUUCACUGACUUACGUUAGCCAUAAAGUUGACGAGCAAGGUUAGCAUGAAAUGCAGGCAAAUCUUGCACGUGGCUCUGUUUUUUUUUUGGAUUCACUCGUGAAAUUAACACGGCCAAGUUUAAAAUUUGACGCCAUUGCAUUGCUUUUUGUUUUUUGAAUUGCUGAACGGAUACCGUUUUUAACGUUUAAAACGAAGCACAAGUGACAAAAUGUCUGACGAUUGGGAAGAGGAAUGCAACGUGUCUACUUUUGACAGCAAGCCAUUCGAAGGCAAUGGUUUUGAUAGUGGAUUUGGAGGUGGAUUUGAGGACAAUCCUACCAGUGGCUUUGCUGAAAGCGGAUUUGGGAGAGGAAGACGUGAAUUUGGGGGUGAUAGAUUCGACCAAAACUCAGACAGUGGCUUUGGUGGAAAGAGACGGUGGCUUUGGUGAUAGCACCAAUGACAAUGGUGAUGAAGGUGGUUUUCACAGUCGUAGAGGUCGUGGAAGGGGUGGUAGAGGUAGAUUUGACCAUCGUCAUGAUGAUUAUGCAGAGAAU